RNAcentral lists this ribosomal RNA (825 nucleotides) under uncultured bacterium. RNAcentral's name for it is "bacterial SSU rRNA". It matches the Rfam family "Bacterial small subunit ribosomal RNA", at positions 62 to 878 of the family's 1533-position model. The record is from RNAcentral.
UCGAACGGAAACGAUGGGUGCUUGCACCCAGGCGUCGAGUGGCGGACGGGUGAGUAACGCGUAGGAAUCUACCCAGUAGCGGGGGAUAGCUCGGGGAAACUCGAAUUAAUACCGCAUACGCCCUACGGGGGAAAGCAGGGGAUCUUCGGACCUUGCACUAUUGGAGGAGCCUGCGUUGGAUUAGCUUGUUGGUAGGGUAAUGGCCUACCAAGGCGACGAUCCAUAGCUGGUCUGAGAGGAUGAUCAGUCACACUGGAACUGAGACACGGUCCAGACUCCUACGGGAGGCAGCAGUGGGGAAUAUUGGACAAUGGGGCAACCCUGAUCCAGCUAUGCCGCGUGUGUGAAGAAGGCCUUCGGGUUGUAAAGCACUUUAAGUUGGGAGAAAGGCUAUACGGUUAAUACCCGUGUAGAUUGAUGUUACCAACAGAAUAAGCACCGGCUAACUCCGUGCCAGCAGCCGCGGUAAUACGGAGGGUGCAAGCGUUAAUCGGAAUUACUGGGCGUAAAGCGCGCGUAGGCGGUUUGAUCAGUUGGGUGUGAAAGCCCCGGGCUUAACCUGGGAACUGCAUCCAAUACUGUCAGGCUAGAGUACGAGAGAGGGGGGUAGAAUUCCUAGUGUAGCGGUGAAAUGCGUAGAUAUUAGGAGGAAUACCAGUGGCGAANGCNNNNNNCUGGCUCGAUACUGACGCUGANGUGCGAAAGCGUGGGGAGCAAACAGGANUAGAUACCCUGGUAGUCCACGCCGUAAACGAUGUCAACUAGCCGUUGGGGGGCUUUGUCCNCUUAGUGGCGUANCUAACGCGCUAAGUUGACCGCCUGGGG